GGGGGGUGGGGGGCUGCUUACCAUGGCACGUCGAACGAAGCAUUAUAUACGAGAUGCCCUCUGGGAGGAAGUGUGAAUGACUGAUAGGGGGACGGGUGAGUAACGCGUGGGCAACCUGCCCCGUACCGGGGGAUAACAGCCGGAAACGGCUGCUAUUACCGCAUAUGCUUUGCGGGUCCUGCGUGGGACAGUGUGAAAAACUCCGGUGGUGCAAGAUGGACCCGCGUCUGAUUAGCUGGUUGGCGGGGUAAAGGCCCACCAAGGCGACGAUCAGUACCCGGCCUGAGAGGGUGGACGGCCACAUUGGGACUGAGACACGGCCCAAACUCCUACGGGAGGCAGCAGUGGGGGAUAUUGGACAAUGGGGGGAACCCUGAUCCAGCGACGCCGCGUGAGUGAAGAAGUAUUUCGGUAUGUAAAGCUCUGUCAGCAGGGAAGAAAGCAAUGACGGUACCUGACCAAGAAGCCCCGGCUAACUACGUGCCAGCAGCCGCGGUAAUACGUAGGGGGCAAGCGUUAUCCGGAAUUACUGGGUGUAAAGGGUGCGUAGGCGGCUUUGCAAGUCAGAAGUGAAAUCCAUGGGCUUAACCCAUGACCUGCUUUUGAAACUGCAUAGCUUGAGUGGAGUACAGGUAGGCGGAAUUCCCGGUGUAACGGUGAAAUGCGUAAAGAUCGGGAGGAACACCACCGGCGAACGCGG
Molecule: ribosomal RNA, 700 nt
Filed under: uncultured bacterium
Lineage: Bacteria
Description: bacterial SSU rRNA
Rfam family: Bacterial small subunit ribosomal RNA
Source: RNAcentral